UCGGUCUCCUUCACUGUGGGACGUGUUUACACUCCGGAGGGAAACAUGUCCGGGGACCGGAUCAGCUCCACGCCGGGUUCGGGUUCUCCUCCCCGGGAUCCCGGAGCCGCCGAGCUGUCGGAGUUGGAGACUCGUGGUGGUGCUCGGUAGAACCGGUGCUCGGUAGAACCGGGCGGUGCUCGGUAGAACCGGGGCGGUGCUCGGUAGAACCGGGCGGUGCUCGGUAGAACCGGUGCUCGGUAGAACCGGGGCCCGGUACCGGGAGCAGAUCGACCGCCAGCAGCUGGACGGACGGAAGUCCGAGGAGGGCGCAUGGAUCCGGGCAGCAGGUCCGGACUCAACCCGGGUCAAAGAACCGGCGACCCUCAGUGCGCCCCCUCAUGGAUGAAAGCGUGUCCUGACCUCCUGACCAGCAGCUGGAACAGCUGGUUCAGACCGAUGGUUCUGAGGGAGACCCCCGAACCUCGGGCCGCUUAUAAAACGUGAAGCUGAAGAAGCUGCUGACGGAGCCUCUGACACAGAGACCAGAGGAGUCCACAGGUCAAAGGUCACCACAGCAGUCAGCUGACCUGCUUCCAGAGACACCGUCAGAGGAGGGGCCUCAGCCGACAGGAAGCGUGACAUGUGACACGUGUCACAGCUCUGAACAUGGAGGAGCUGACAAUAUCAAACAUGGAGAAAGGGAAUAAGAUUUAAAAUGCAAAAAGAUAAAAUCAGUUACUGAAGCUUUAAAUACUUUUAUUUCAAAGUUCACAGAACUUCACUAUUCAUCAUUCAACAAUAAAAAAUAUGAAAACGC
This is a long non-coding RNA of Limanda limanda (common dab), 799 nucleotides long. RefSeq lists it as uncharacterized. The transcript is spliced from 2 exons. Lineage: Eukaryota; Metazoa; Chordata; Actinopteri; Pleuronectiformes; Pleuronectidae. The record is from RefSeq and is a predicted model, not a curated record.